GACGAACCGAGCGAACGUUGUUCGGAAUCACUGGGCUUAAAGGGCGCGUAGGCGGGCUGCCGCGUCCGGGGUGAAAUCCCACGGCUCAACCGUGGAACGGCCCCGGGUACGGGCGGCCUCGAGGGGGGUAGGGGCGUGCGGAACUGUGGGUGGAGCGGUGAAAUGCGUUGAUAUCCACAGGAACUCCGGUGGCGAAGGCGGCACGCUGGACCCCUUCUGACGCUGAGGCGCGAAAGCCAGGGGAGCGAACGGG
RNAcentral lists this ribosomal RNA (253 nucleotides) under uncultured bacterium. RNAcentral's name for it is "partial 16S ribosomal RNA". It matches the Rfam family "Bacterial small subunit ribosomal RNA", at positions 524 to 776 of the family's 1533-position model. The record is from RNAcentral.